UACGUAGGGGGCAAGCGUUGUCCGGAAUCAUUGGGCGUAAAGAGCGUGUAGGCGGUUCAGUAAGUCUGCUGUGAAAGUCCAAGGCUCAACCUUGGGAUGCCGGUGGAUACUGCUGGGCUAGAGUACGGAAGAGGCGAGUGGAAUUCCCGGUGUAGCGGUGAAAUGCGCAGAUAUCGGGAGGAACACCUAUUGCGAAGGCAGCUCGCUGGGACGUCACUGACGCUGAGACGCGAAAGCGUGGGGAGCAAACAGG
Molecule: ribosomal RNA, 253 nt
Filed under: uncultured bacterium
Lineage: Bacteria
Description: partial 16S ribosomal RNA
Rfam family: Bacterial small subunit ribosomal RNA
Source: RNAcentral